AUGUGGCUCAGUUGGUAGAGUGCUUGCCUAGCAUGCAUGAAUCCCUGGGUUCUAUCCCCAGCAU
This 64-nucleotide transfer RNA is filed under the name Neotoma lepida (desert woodrat). It matches the Rfam family "tRNA", at positions 5 to 66 of the family's 71-position model. From Rfam's summary of the family: Transfer RNA (tRNA) molecules are approximately 80 nucleotides in length. Their secondary structure includes four short double-helical elements and three loops (D, anti-codon, and T loops). Further hydrogen bonds mediate the characteristic L-shaped molecular structure. tRNAs have two regions of fundamental functional importance: the anti-codon, which is responsible for specific mRNA codon recognition, and the 3' end, to which the tRNAs corresponding amino acid is attached (by aminoacyl-tRNA synthetases). tRNAs cope with the degeneracy of the genetic code in two manners: having more than one tRNA (with a specific anti-codon) for a particular amino acid; and 'wobble' base-pairing, i.e. permitting non-standard base-pairing at the 3rd anti-codon position. The record is from Rfam by way of RNAcentral. Lineage: Eukaryota; Metazoa; Chordata; Mammalia; Rodentia; Cricetidae.